RNAcentral lists this ribosomal RNA (254 nucleotides) under uncultured bacterium. Its description in RNAcentral is "partial 16S ribosomal RNA". It matches the Rfam family "Bacterial small subunit ribosomal RNA", at positions 524 to 776 of the family's 1533-position model. The record is from RNAcentral.
UACGUAGGGGGCGAGCGUUGUCCGAAGUUACUGGGCGUAAAGCGCGCGUAGGCGGCUCUUUAAGUCUGGCGUGAAAGGUUCAGGGCUCAACCCGAACAGUGCGCUGGAGACUGGAGAGCUUGAGGAUGGGAGAGGGAAGCGGAAUUCCGGGUGUAGCGGUGAAAUGCGUAGAUAUCCGGAGGAACACCGAUGGCGAAGGCAGCUUCCUGGCCCGUAUCUGACGCUGAGGUGCGAAAGCGUGGGGAGCGAACAGG